RNAcentral lists this ribosomal RNA (576 nucleotides) under uncultured bacterium. Its description in RNAcentral is "bacterial SSU rRNA". It matches the Rfam family "Bacterial small subunit ribosomal RNA", at positions 912 to 1478 of the family's 1533-position model. The record is from RNAcentral.
GACGGGGACCCGCACAAGCGGUGGAACAUGUGGUUUAAUUCGAAGCAACGCGAAGAACCUUACCAGGGCUUGACAUCUGAGGAACCUUGAUGAAAGUCGAGGGUGCUCUUCGGAGAGCCUCAAGACAGGUGGUGCACGGUUGUCGUCAGCUCGUGUCGUGAGAUGUUGGGUUAAGUCCCACAACGAGCGCAACCCUCGUUGUUAGUUGCAUGCAUCGGUAUACUGGUGCAGUGCUCUCUAGCAAGACUGCCGGUGAUAAACCGGAGGAAGGUGGGGACGACGUCAAAUCAUCAUGCCCCUUAUGCUCUGGGCUACACACGUGUUACAAUGGUCGGUACAACGAGCCGCCAACUCGCGAGAGUGAGCAAAUCUCUUAAAACCGGCCUCAGUUCGGAUUGGACUCUGCAACUCGAGUCCAUGAAGUCGGAAUCGCUAGUAAACGCAGAUCAGCACGCUGCGUUGAAUACGUUCCCGGGUCUUGUACACACCGCCCGUCACACCAUGGAAGUCGACCACGCCCGAAGUACGUGGGCUAACCGUAAGGAAGCAGCGUCCUAAGGCAGGGUUGGUGACUGG